AUUUUCGAUAGUCAAGUCUGCAUGUCCACUAAUUUCUAGUAUAAUUAUUAUAUCUAGUUUUAGUGCAAAACAUAAUACUCCCUCCGUCCCCAAAAUAAGUUCCUCUUUGGGGACGGCACGGGUUUUAAGAAAAAUGGUAAAGUGUAUUGAUAGUGGAAAAAAAUAUGUUAUAAUUAGUAUUGGGAGUGAUGAAAAUGUGAAAAAGUAUUAUAAUUAGUAUUGGGAGUGGUGAAAAAGGGAAAAGUAAGAAUAAAUAAAGUAUUAUUAGUGGUGGGAUAGUUGUCCAAAAAUAGAAAGAAAGAAAGAGGAACUUAUUUGGGGGACGUCCCAAAAUGGAAAAAGAGGAACUUAUUUCAGGGACGGAGGGAGUAUAUAGUAUAAUAUAAUGGUAGAAUCUAUCUUUGUAGUCUUAGCA
Molecule: long non-coding RNA, 415 nt
Filed under: Salvia miltiorrhiza (redroot sage)
Lineage: Eukaryota; Viridiplantae; Streptophyta; Magnoliopsida; Lamiales; Lamiaceae
Description: long non-coding RNA (SMIL_LNC010121)
Source: RNAcentral